RNAcentral lists this long non-coding RNA (707 nucleotides) under Malus domestica (apple). RNAcentral describes it as "long non-coding RNA (MDOM_LNC018412)". Lineage: Eukaryota; Viridiplantae; Streptophyta; Magnoliopsida; Rosales; Rosaceae. The record is from RNAcentral.
GCCGAGCAGCCUCGCAACAUGUGCUACUUUUAGUUGAGCAUCAUUUCAGAUUGGGCACCGCCUCAUAUCGAGUAUCAGUUCUAGACGACAUCUAGUUACUUCAGCCUACACAUGGACUACAUUUCAAGUUUUCAGCCAAAAGACUCUCUUGACUGAAGACUUAGAGGACUACUGUUUAUACCAUAUUUAGGGCCUCGUAUUUAGACCUCGUAUAAAUACUUGAGGGACUUAAAUGUAAUUAUGUAAUAAAGGAAUGGGCAAAUAUGUAAUAAGUGAGGAGUCCUUAUUCUAUAAAAGGACCUCUUACCCUCACAAUUAGGGGGAGGCCAAUUCCUAAGGCUCCUCACCCCUCUCAAAGCUCUCACUCUCAGAGCUCUCUCUCCCUCACUUCUCAGAGAAAUAUAAUACAAUCAGUGUAGACGUAGGCCAAACUUUGAGGUGAACCACGAUACAUCUUGUGUUAUUUACAUUUCAUGCAGAUUCAAAGUCGGAUUUACGUUGUACCAAGACCUCCGGUUUUGUGCAUCAACAAACUGGAUACAACAAAUUGGAGAUGCAAUUCUGGCUUUCCAGGAAGGAUCUUCUACAAAUUAAAAAGUUUAGUUGUUUUCUGCCAAUCAGGUUCUUUUACAAUAAUUAAGAUAUUUGAAACAUGAAAAUAUUCCCCAUGAUGCAUGAACCCCUACAUUUAUGUUUUCCUUCUUAUA